This 435-nucleotide long non-coding RNA is filed under the name Mytilus galloprovincialis (Mediterranean mussel). The record is from RNAcentral. Lineage: Eukaryota; Metazoa; Mollusca; Bivalvia; Mytilida; Mytilidae.
UGGAAUUUACUGACCCCAUAUAUACCGUAUUACGUCACUAGCACACUAUGUAACGAAUUUAUCUUACCGACUAUCUUAACGUGUGAAAUUAAGACUAGUGAUUCUCAAAAUGAGCAAGUCUUCAAUACUGUUAGCACUAAGAAAAUACUUCCAUUGAUCCUACAAAAACAGAUGGCAACAAUAACGACUUGUAAGGUUUAAAUGUGUUUUAUGAAUUUGUUUCAAUCUUAAUCAUCAAUUUCUUCGUCUGUUGGAACUUUUAAGAUUUUUUCUCAGUACCGUUUUGUUUUUUAUAAAGGGACAUAACACCAUUACUAACCGUGUAUGAAAUACCUAAUAAGGAAUAUAAAGGGACGUAACUCCACUACUAACCGUGUAUGAGAUAAGCCCCGCCUCCCUACUAACCUAAUAUCAAAUAUACACGGUUUGCACGCG